Molecule: ribosomal RNA, 1700 nt
Filed under: Campylobacter coli
Lineage: Bacteria; Pseudomonadati; Campylobacterota; Epsilonproteobacteria; Campylobacterales; Campylobacteraceae
Description: partial 23S ribosomal RNA
Rfam family: Bacterial large subunit ribosomal RNA
Source: RNAcentral
UUUGCGUCGAAGGUAUACCGGUAAGGAGUGCUGGAGCGAAUAGAAGUGAGCAUGCAGGCAUGAGUAGCGAUAAUUAAUGUGAGAAUCAUUAACGCCGUAAACCCAAGGUUUCCUACGCGAUGCUCGUCAUCGUAGGGUUAGUCGGGUCCUAAGUCGAGUCCGAAAGGGGUAGACGAUGGCAAAUUGGUUAAUAUUCCAAUACCAACAUUAGUGUGCGAUGGAAGGACGCUUAGGGCUAAGGGGGCUAGCGGAUGGAAGUGCUAGUCUAAGGUCGUAGGAGGUUAUACAGGCAAAUCCGUAUAACAAUACUCCGAGAACUGAAAGGCUUUUUGAAGUCUUCGGAUGGAUAGAAGAACCCCUGAUGCCGUCGAGCCAAGAAAAGUUUCUAAGUUUAGCUAAUGUUGCCCGUACCGUAAACCGACACAGGUGGGUGGGAUGAGUAUUCUAAGGCGCGUGGAAGAACUCUCUUUAAGGAACUCUGCAAAAUAGCACCGUAUCUUCGGUAUAAGGUGUGGUUAGCUUUGUAUUAGGAUUUACUCCGAAAGCAAGGAAACUUACAACAAAGAGUCCCUCCCGACUGUUUACCAAAAACACAGCACUCUGCUAACUCGUAAGAGGAUGUAUAGGGUGUGACGCCUGCCCGGUGCUCGAAGGUUAAUUGAUGGGGUUAGCAUUAGCGAAGCUCUUGAUCGAAGCCCGAGUAAACGGCGGCCGUAACUAUAACGGUCCUAAGGUAGCGAAAUUCCUUGUCGGUUAAAUACCGACCUGCAUGAAUGGCGUAACGAGAUGGGAGCUGUCUCAAAGAGGGAUCCAGUGAAAUUGUAGUGGAGGUGAAAAUUCCUCCUACCCGCGGCAAGACGGAAAGACCCCGUGGACCUUUACUACAGCUUGACACUGCUACUUGGAUAAGAAUGUGCAGGAUAGGUGGGAGGCUUUGAGUAUAUGACGCCAGUUGUAUAUGAGCCAUUGUUGAGAUACCACUCUUUCUUAUUUGGGUAGCUAACCAGCUUGAGUUAUCCUCAAGUGGGACAAUGUCUGGUGGGUAGUUUGACUGGGGCGGUCGCCUCCCAAAUAAUAACGGAGGCUUACAAAGGUUGGCUCAGAACGGUUGGAAAUCGUUCGUAGAGUAUAAAGGUAUAAGCCAGCUUAACUGCAAGACAUACAAGUCAAGCAGAGACGAAAGUCGGUCUUAGUGAUCCGGUGGUUCUGUGUGGAAGGGCCAUCGCUCAAAGGAUAAAAGGUACCCCGGGGAUAACAGGCUGAUCUCCCCCAAGAGCUCACAUCGACGGGGAGGUUUGGCACCUCGAUGUCGGCUCAUCGCAUCCUGGGGCUGGAGCAUGUCCCAAGGGUAUGGCUGUUCGCCAUUUAAAGCGGUACGCGAGCUGGGUUCAGAACGUCGUGAGACAGUUCGGUCCCUAUCUGCCGUGGGCGUAAGAAGAUUGAAGAGAUUUGACCCUAGUACGAGAGGACCGGGUUGAACAAACCACUGGUGUAGCUGUUGUUCUGCCAAGAGCAUCGCAGCGUAGCUAAGUUUGGAAAGGAUAAACGCUGAAAGCAUCUAAGCGUGAAGCCAACUCUAAGAUGAAUCUUCUCUAAGCUCUCUAGAAGACUACUAGUUUGAUAGGCUGGGUGUGUAAUGGAUGAAAGUCCUUUAGCUGACCAGUACUAAUAGAGCGUUUGGCUUAUCUUUAAUAAAGCAU